AACGCACAUUGCGCCCCUUGGUAUUCCAUGGGGCAUGCCUGUUCGAGCGUCAUUUGUACCUUCAAGCUCUGCUUGGUGUUGGGUGUUUGUCUCGCCUCUGCGCGUAGACUCGCCUCAAAACGAUUGGCAGCCGGCGUAUUGAUUUCGGAGCGCAGUACAUCUCGCGCUCUGCACUCACAACGACGACGUCCAAAAGCACAUUUUUACACUCUUGACCUCGGAUCAGGUAGGGAUACCCGCUGAACUUAA
Molecule: unclassified non-coding RNA, 249 nt
Filed under: uncultured Pleosporales
Lineage: Eukaryota; Fungi; Ascomycota; Dothideomycetes; Pleosporales
Description: sequence contains 5.8S rRNA gene, ITS2, 28S rRNA gene
Source: RNAcentral